RNAcentral lists this ribosomal RNA (631 nucleotides) under Bacillus sp. MC20. RNAcentral describes it as "bacterial SSU rRNA". It matches the Rfam family "Bacterial small subunit ribosomal RNA", at positions 62 to 672 of the family's 1533-position model. The record is from RNAcentral. Lineage: Bacteria; Bacillati; Bacillota; Bacilli; Caryophanales; Bacillaceae.
UCGAGCGCAACUAAUAUAGAAGCUUGCUUCUAUGACGUUAGCGGCGGACGGGUGAGUAACACGUGGGCAACCUGCCUGUAAGACUGGGAUAACUUCGGGAAACCGAAGCUAAUACCGGAUAGGAUCUUCUCCUUCAUGGGAGAUGAUUGAAAGAUGGUUUCGGCUAUCACUUACAGAUGGGCCCGCGGUGCAUUAGCUAGUUGGUGAGGUAACGGCUCACCAAGGCAACGAUGCAUAGCCGACCUGAGAGGGUGAUCGGCCACACUGGGACUGAGACACGGCCCAGACUCCUACGGGAGGCAGCAGUAGGGAAUCUUCCGCAAUGGACGAAAGUCUGACGGAGCAACGCCGCGUGAGUGAUGAAGGCUUUCGGGUCGUAAAACUCUGUUGUUAGGGAAGAACAAGUACAAGAGUAACUGCUUGUACCUUGACGGUACCUAACCAGAAAGCCACGGCUAACUACGUGCCAGCAGCCGCGGUAAUACGUAGGUGGCAAGCGUUAUCCGGAAUUAUUGGGCGUAAAGCGCGCGCAGGCGGUUUCUUAAGUCUGAUGUGAAAGCCCACGGCUCAACCGUGGAGGGUCAUUGGAAACUGGGGAACUUGAGUGCAGAAGAGAAAAGCGGAAUUCCAC